This 664-nucleotide ribosomal RNA is filed under the name Sarcocystis miescheriana. RNAcentral describes it as "SSU rRNA". It matches the Rfam family "Eukaryotic small subunit ribosomal RNA", at positions 455 to 1077 of the family's 1831-position model. Lineage: Eukaryota; Apicomplexa; Conoidasida; Eucoccidiorida; Sarcocystidae. The record is from RNAcentral.
CUCAGGGAGGUAGUGACAAGAAAUAACAACACUGGAAAUUUGAUUUCUAGUGAUUGGAAUGAUGGGAAUCCAAACCCCUUUCAGAGUAACAAUUGGAGGGCAAGUCUGGUGCCAGCAGCCGCGGUAAUUCCAGCUCCAAUAGCGUAUAUUAAAGUUGUUGCAGUUAAAAAGCUCGUAGUUGGAUGUCUGUUGGAAGCAAUCAUCAGUCCGCCCUAUUUGAUUAGGGUGUGAAUAUGAUGAAUUCCGGCAUAAUUGUCUCCCUAUUGUUAAUAUUCUGAUUGUUAGAUUCAUUUCUAACAAUAAUACGAUUAUUAAUAAUAAGGGGGAAAUGUUACUUUGAGAAAAUUAGAGUGUUUGAAGCAGGCUUUUGUUGCCUUGAAUACUGCAGCAUGGAAUAACAAUAUAGGAUUUCGGUUCUAUUUUGUUGGUUCUUUUUUUAGGACUGAAAUAAUGAUUAAUAGGGACAGUUGGGGGCAUUCGUAUUUAACUGUCAGAGGUGAAAUUCUUAGAUUUGUUAAAGACGAACUACUGCGAAAGCAUUUGCCAAAGAUGUUUUCAUUAAUCAAGAACGAAAGUUAGGGGCUCGAAGACGAUCAGAUACCGUCGUAGUCUUAGCCAUAAACUAUGCCGACUAGAGAUAGGAAAUUGUCAUUUUACUUGACUU